Molecule: ribosomal RNA, 1371 nt
Filed under: Triticum aestivum (bread wheat)
Lineage: Eukaryota; Viridiplantae; Streptophyta; Magnoliopsida; Poales; Poaceae
Description: partial small subunit ribosomal RNA
Source: RNAcentral
AUGGGGGCGUCUCUCAGCUUCCCCAGCAACGGGAAGCAAACACUGGAGCACAGGGAAGCGUCAAAACCAGGUUCCUCAAAGAAGCUGCGCCCUGGUCAUUACCACCCGAGGCUGAUUCCUGACCUCCCGGAUGAGAUCUCCCUGCAAAUCCUCGCGAGGAUGCCAAGGGUGUGGUAUCUUAGCAGCAAGAGGGUUUCACGGAGCUGGAAGGCCGCCAUCACUGGCAUGGAGUUGUAUCGGGUGAGGAAGGAGCUUGGUGUGGAUGAGGAAUGGAUUUACAUACUGACCAAGGCGGCCAAUGGCAAGCUGUCGUGGCACGCCUUUGAUCCGCUUUGCAGCCGAUGGCAGAGACUGCCGCUCAUGCCUGUGGUUGCUCGUGGGGGAAGCCGUUUAGGGGGUUUGGUGAGUGCUGGGAUUAGGAUCUCUGGUGUCAUUAGAGGCUUGCUUGGCCAAGAGGAUUGGUUAGACAAGAUUCCCUUUUGUGCUUGCGCCAUUGGAACGGUCGAUGGAUGCCUCUAUGUUCUGGGCGGUUUCUCUAGAGCCACAGCAAUCAAAAGCGUAUGGAAGUAUGAUCCAGCUGUAAAUUUGUGGCAGGAAGUAAGCUCAAUGAGCGCCGCGCGAGCGUUUGGCAGGACUGGCCUUUUGAACAACAAGCUGUAUGUUGUUGGCGGUGUCAUCAGGGAAGAAACUGGAUUAGCUCCGCUUCAAUCUGCUGAAGUGUUUGACCCAACCACAGGAAUCUGGGCAGAUGUGCCAAACAUGCCCUUCUCUAAAGCACAAACUCUGCCGACUGCAUUCCUGGCUGACUUACUGAAGCCGGUUGCUACAGGAAUAGUCUCAUUUGGAGGCAAGCUGUAUGUGCCUCAGAGCCUAUAUUCCUGGCCAUUCUUUGUUGACGUUGGCGGGGAGGUGUUCGAUCCUGCGACGGACUCAUGGUCAGACAUGCCUGUAGGCCUGAGCGAGGGUUGGCCUGGGAGGCAAGCCGGGACAAAAUUAAGUGCUGUUGUGGAUGGGGACCUAUAUGCUUUGGAGCCCCCAACUUGUUCUGAUAGUGGCAAGAUAAAGAUGUACGAUUCCAAUGAGGAUACAUGGAAGGCUGUUGUCAGCCAGGUGCCUGUUGGUGACUUUGCAGAGUCAAAGUGUCCGUACUUGCUUGCGGGGUUUCUUGGGAAGCUCCAUUUGGUUAUCAAAGAUGCAAAUGGCAAGGUCAGUAUCGUGCAAACGGACGCUCUGAGGCCUAUGGAUGCAACUGGCUCGACAUGCCAAAACCCAGUCGUCUCCUGGGAGCAAGGCACUGAUGUUUGGAGAACCGUGGGCUCGAAGAAAUUUGCGGUUGCUGAACUUGUUAGCUGCCAGGCGCUCAGCAUAUGA